This is a long non-coding RNA of Zea mays, 162 nucleotides long. RefSeq lists it as uncharacterized. The transcript has 2 exons. The record is from RefSeq and is a predicted model, not a curated record. Lineage: Eukaryota; Viridiplantae; Streptophyta; Magnoliopsida; Poales; Poaceae.
CCAAGGCGCGGAGGAAGAUAUAAUUAUCAUAUCAAUAGUCAGGAGUAAUGGAGCUGGUACAGUUGGGUUUCUAUCAAACUUACAGAGGACUAACGUGGCUCUAACAAGGGCCAAGCAUUGCUUAUGGAUUGUGGGGAAUGGAACCACUCUGUUCAACAGCAA